Molecule: ribosomal RNA, 496 nt
Filed under: uncultured bacterium
Lineage: Bacteria
Description: partial 16S ribosomal RNA
Rfam family: Bacterial small subunit ribosomal RNA
Source: RNAcentral
GAUGAACGCUGGCGGCGUGCCUAAUACAUGCAAGUCGAGCGAACAGACGAGGAGCUUGCUCCUCUGACGUUAGCGGCGGACGGGUGAGUAACACGUGGAUAACCUACCUAUAAGACUGGGAUAACUUCGGGAAACCGGAGCUAAUACCGGAUAAUAUAUUGAACCGCAUGGUUCAAUAGUGAAAGACGGUUUUGCUGUCACUUAUAGAUGGAUCCGCGCCGCAUUAGCUAGUUGGUAAGGUAACGGCUUACCAAGGCAACGAUGCGUAGCCGACCUGAGAGGGUGAUCGGCCACGCUGGAACUGAGACACGGUCCAGACUCCUACGGGAGGCAGCAGUAGGAAAUCUUCCGCAAUGGGCGAAAGCCUGACGGAGCAACGCCGCGUGAGUGAUGAAGGUCUUCGGAUCGUAAAACUCUGUUAUUAGGGAAGAACAAAUGUGUAAGUAACUAUGCAUGUCUUGACGGUACCUAAUCAGAAAGCCACGGCUAACUACGU